Molecule: long non-coding RNA, 402 nt
Filed under: Citrus sinensis (sweet orange)
Lineage: Eukaryota; Viridiplantae; Streptophyta; Magnoliopsida; Sapindales; Rutaceae
Description: long non-coding RNA (CSIN_LNC003179)
Source: RNAcentral
AACAACCCUUACUUUUAUGUAUUUAACCUUCUUGUGAUUUAAUUACAUGUGUUUUAUUUUAAUUAAGUAUUUUAUGUAUUUUAGGGGCAUUAUAGUCAUUUCACAAUAAAGGAGAGAUCAGACGGCAAAACGGACAUCACUUUUGAACUCAGGACAGUCGAAAACCUUAGGAGGAGCAUAAAAGGAAAAAUGGCACUAUUCACAUGUACGGUACUAUUCACGUAUACGGUACUGUCUACGUUACUGUUCACGACACUGUUCACAUAGACGGAUCGAUGACGUGGCAUUGACCGAUGAUGUGGCAUUGACUGAUGAGGUGUCACGAUCCUGUUGGACUAAAAUUCUUAUGUACUGUUGACGGUGACGUGGCAGCAUAUCAGUGGACGAAAAAUCUCGCGUACG